GAUGAAGAACGUAGCGAAAUGCGAUAAGUAAUGUGAAUUGCAGAAUUCAGUGAAUCAUCGAAUCUUGAACGCACAUUGCGCCCCCUGGUAUUCCGGGGGGCAUGCCUGUUCGAGCGUCAUUUCACCACUCAAGCCUCGCUUGGUAUUGGGCAACGCGGUCCGCCGCGUGCCUCAAAUCGACCGGCUGGGUCUUCUGUCCCCUAAGCGUUGUGGAAACUUUCGCUAAAGGGUGUUCGGGAGGCUACGCCGUAAAACAACCCCAUUUCUAAGGUUGACCUCGGAUCAGGUAGGGAUACCCGCUGAACUUAAGCAUAUCAAUAAGCGGAGGA
Molecule: unclassified non-coding RNA, 329 nt
Filed under: soil metagenome
Description: partial contains 5.8S ribosomal RNA, internal transcribed spacer 2, and large subunit ribosomal RNA
Rfam family: 5.8S ribosomal RNA (bases 1-119)
Source: RNAcentral